This 74-nucleotide transfer RNA is filed under the name Thorea hispida. RNAcentral describes it as "tRNA-Met". It matches the Rfam family "tRNA". From Rfam's summary of the family: Transfer RNA (tRNA) molecules are approximately 80 nucleotides in length. Their secondary structure includes four short double-helical elements and three loops (D, anti-codon, and T loops). The record is from RNAcentral. Lineage: Eukaryota; Rhodophyta; Florideophyceae; Thoreales; Thoreaceae.
CACGGGAUAGAGUAAUAUGGUUAACUUGAUAGGCUCAUGAUCUAUUGUUAUAGGUUCAAAUCCUAUUCCCGUAA